Molecule: ribosomal RNA, 983 nt
Filed under: Nitrosospira multiformis
Lineage: Bacteria; Pseudomonadati; Pseudomonadota; Betaproteobacteria; Nitrosomonadales; Nitrosomonadaceae
Description: bacterial SSU rRNA
Rfam family: Bacterial small subunit ribosomal RNA
Source: RNAcentral
GAGCACGGGGGCAACCCUGGUGGCGAGUGGCGAACGGGUGAGUAAUGCAUCGGAACGUAUCUUCGAGUGGGGGAUAACGCACCGAAAGGUGUGCUAAUACCGCAUAAUCUCUACGGAGAAAAGCAGGGGAUCGCAAGACCUUGCGCUCUUGGAGCGGCCGAUGUCUGAUUAGCUAGUUGGUGAGGUAAAGGCUUACCAAGGCGACGAUCAGUAGCUGGUCUGAGAGGACGACCAGCCACACUGGGACUGAGACACGGCCCAGACUCCUACGGGAGGCAGCAGUGGGGAAUUUUGGACAAUGGGGGAAACCCUGAUCCAGCCAUGCCGCGUGAGUGAAGAAGGCCUUCGGGUUGUAAAGCUCUUUCAGCCGGAACGAAACGGUCACGGCUAAUACCUGUGACUACUGACGGUACCGGAAGAAGAAGCACCGGCUAACUACGUGCCAGCAGCCGCGGUAAUACGUAGGGUGCAAGCGUUAAUCGGAAUUACUGGGCGUAAAGCGUGCGCAGCGCGGUUUUGUAAGUCAGAUGUGAAAUCCCCGGGCUUAACCUGGGAACUGCGUUUGAGAACUACAAGGCUAGAGUGUGGCAGAGGGGGGUGGAAUUCCACGUGUAGCAGUGAAAUGCGUAGAGAUGUGGAGGAACACCGAUGGCGAAGGCAGCCCCCUGGGUUAACACUGACGCUCAGGCACGAAAGCGUGGGGAGCAAACAGGAUUAGAUACCCCUGGUAGUCCACGCCCUAAACGAUGUCAACUAGUUGUCGGGUCUUAACGGACUUGGUAACGCAGCUAACGCGUGAAGUUGMCCGCCUGGGGAGUACGGUCGCAAGAUUAAAACUCAAAGGAAUUGACGGGGACCCGCACAAGCGGUGGAUUAUGUGGAUUAAUUCGAUGCAACGCGNAAAACCUUACCUACCCUUGACAUGUGCCGAAGUCCGUCUGAGAGGUGGACGUGCCCGAAAGGGAGCGGCAACACAGGUGCUG